RNAcentral lists this ribosomal RNA (265 nucleotides) under uncultured archaeon. RNAcentral's name for it is "partial 16S ribosomal RNA". It matches the Rfam family "Archaeal small subunit ribosomal RNA", at positions 719 to 982 of the family's 1478-position model. The record is from RNAcentral.
ACACGACUACAUUAGAUACCCGUGUAGUCCUAGCCGUAAACGAUACUCGCUAGGUGUCGGCCACGGUGCGACCGUUGUCGGUGCCGUAGGGAAGCCGUGAAGCGAGCCACCUGGGAAGUACGGCCGCAAGGCUGAAACUUAAAGGAAUUAGCGGGGGAGCACAACAACGGGUGGAGCUUGCGGUUUAAUUGGAUUCAACGCCGGAAAUCUUACCGGGACCGACAGCAACAUGAAGGCCAAGCUGAAGACUUUGCCGGAUUAGCUG